UACGUAGGGUCCGAGCGUUGUCCGGAAUUAUUGGGCGUAAAGAGCUCGUAGGCGGUCUGUCGCGUCGGCUGUGAAAACACGGGGCUCAACUCCGUGCCUGCAGUCGAUACGGGCAGACUAGAGUUCGGUAGGGGAGACUGGAAUUCCUGGUAUAGCGGUGAAAUGCGCAGAUAUCAGGAGGAACACCGGUGGCGAAGGCGGGUCUCUGGGCCGAAACUGACGCUGAGGAGCGAAAGCGUGGGGAGCGAACAGG
Molecule: ribosomal RNA, 253 nt
Filed under: uncultured bacterium
Lineage: Bacteria
Description: partial 16S ribosomal RNA
Rfam family: Bacterial small subunit ribosomal RNA
Source: RNAcentral